GACGAACGCUGGCGGCGUGCCUAAUACAUGCAAGUAGAACGCUGAAGGAGGAGCUUGCUCUUCUGGAUGAGUUGCGAACGGGUGAGUAACGCGUAGGUAACCUGCCUGGUAGCGGGGGAUAACUAUUGGAAACGAUAGCUAAUACCGCAUAAGAGUAGAUGUUGCAUGACAUUUACUUAAAAGGUGCAAUUGCAUCACUACCAGAUGGACCUGCGUUGUAUUAGCUAGUUGGUGGGGUAACGGCUUACCAAGGCGACGAUACAUAGCCGACCUGAGAGGGUGAUAGGCCAGACUGGGACUGAGACACGGCCCAGACUCCUUCGGGAGGCAGCAGUAGGGAAUCUUCGGCAAUGGACGGAAGUCUGACCGAGCAACGCCGCGUGAGUGAAGAAGGGUUUCGGAUCGUAAAGCUCUGUUGUCAGAGAAGAACGAGUGUGAGAGUGGAAAGUUCACACUGUGACGGUAUCUUACCAGAAAGGGACGGCUAACUACGUG
This 495-nucleotide ribosomal RNA is filed under the name uncultured bacterium. Its description in RNAcentral is "partial 16S ribosomal RNA". It matches the Rfam family "Bacterial small subunit ribosomal RNA", at positions 28 to 507 of the family's 1533-position model. The record is from RNAcentral.